RNAcentral lists this ribosomal RNA (253 nucleotides) under uncultured bacterium. RNAcentral's name for it is "partial 16S ribosomal RNA". It matches the Rfam family "Bacterial small subunit ribosomal RNA", at positions 524 to 776 of the family's 1533-position model. The record is from RNAcentral.
UACGUAGGGACCGAGCGUUGUCCGGAAUCAUUGGGCGUAAAGAGCGUGUAGGCGGCUAUUUAAGUCCUGCGUGAAAUCCUGCGGCUCAACCGCAGACGGUCGUGGGAAACUGGAUGGCUAGAGGGCGGGAGAGGAGAGUGGAAUUCCCGGUGUAGCGGUGAAAUGCGCAGAUAUCGGGAAGAACACACUUGGCGAAGGCGGCUCUCUGGAACGCAACUGACGCUGAGACGCGAAAGCGUGGGGAGCAAACAGG